GACGAACGCUGGCGGCGUGCUUAACACAUGCAAGUCGAACGGAAAGGCCCUGCUUUUGUGGGGUGCUCGAGUGGCGAACGGGUGAGUAACACGUGAGUAACCUGCCCUUGACUUUGGGAUAACUUCAGGAAACUGGGGUUAAUACCGGAUAGGAGCUCCUGCUGCAUGGUGGGGGUUGGAAAGUUUCGGCGGUUGGGGAUGGACUCGCGGCUUAUCAGCUUGUUGGUGGGGUAGUGGCUUACCAAGGCUUUGACGGGUAGCCGGCCUGAGAGGGUGACCGGCCACAUUGGGACUGAGAUACGGCCCAGACUCCUACGGGAGGCAGCAGUGGGGAAUAUGGCACAAUGGGCGGAAGCCUGAUGCAGCAACGCCGCGUGCGGGAUGACGGCCUUCGGGUUGUAAACCGCUUUCGCCUGUGACGAAGCGUGAGUGACGGUAAUGGGUAAAGAAGCACCGGCUAACUACGU
This 467-nucleotide ribosomal RNA is filed under the name uncultured bacterium. RNAcentral's name for it is "partial 16S ribosomal RNA". It matches the Rfam family "Bacterial small subunit ribosomal RNA", at positions 28 to 506 of the family's 1533-position model. The record is from RNAcentral.